CAUAGAACAGAAUCUGUUGUAAUGAUCAAACCUUCAGAGAAUUUCUGAUUCGAGUGCUGUACAGUGGAAAUAGCAGCUAAUUUGGUGAUGCCAAUUUCAUUUCUGGUACGUUCUGCAGCUAGAUGAAGAGAUCUCAGGAAUUCUUGAAGUGGUGGGAAGAGUAACAAAUCAGGCAACCAUCAUGUGCAUGUCAUACGUCCAGUUCAGGGAAGAUAAAAGUCCAUUUGAUCUGGAACUCUACAAUGAAGCACUGAAAAUUAUUCACGAAUUUCCUGAAUACUUCCCCUUUGGUACUGGGAGGAACAAUUAAUUCUUUCUAGAGCUUCAGGUGUGCAACAUUACCUUGGCUGUCUUGCCUGACGGCAUGGUAAGAGUUGUAUUAGUUUCCAACAAAUAUACUAAGAAGAUGCUAUUACACGUGCCAUGUGUGGCCAGUGAAAUAUAUUUUCUUAGAAACUUUUCUUUGAAUUAGCUUAGCAAGAAGCAGAACACUUCUGUGGCUAUGUUACUGACUGUAUAUAUUUAAUCCUUCAUGAGGGAUGCUCUCUUGCAAGAUUUGACUUGCUAGAAAUUGAUGUUUUGUAGGCCUCUUUUCCAUUGUCCACAGAGGUUCCAGGAUACUUAACACAAAACUCAUACUGAAGAUUUUUGGUAGGGUUUUAAUGUAAAGAUAUUUUAAAAUUUUUUGCUUUGAUAUAAAUUUAUUGAACAUGGAGGGAAAGAUUUAUUUUGCAUCUUGAUAAUGGUCACUUCUCCAAUAAAUAUAUGGCUACAUUCAA
Non-coding RNA from Meleagris gallopavo (turkey), 779 nucleotides. The record is from RefSeq and is a predicted model, not a curated record. Lineage: Eukaryota; Metazoa; Chordata; Aves; Galliformes; Phasianidae.